AACGAACGCUGGCGGCAGGCCUAACACAUGCAAGUCGAGCGCACCUUCGGGUGAGCGGCGGACGGGUUAGUAACACGUGGGAACGUACCCUUUUCUAAGGAAUAACCAUUGGAAACGAUGACUAAUGCCUUAUACGCCUCGGGAAGAUUAUCGGAGAAGGAUCGGCCCGCGUUAGAUUAGAUAGUUGGUGGGUAAUGGCCUACCAAGUCUACGAUCUAUAGUUGAUUUGAGAGGAUGAUCAGCAACACUGGGACUGACGACACGGUCCCAGACUCCUACGGGAGGCAGCAGUGGGGAAUCUUAGACAAUGGGCGCAAGCCUGAUCUAGCCAUGCCGCGUGAGUGAUGAAGGUCUUAGGAUCGUAAAGCUCUUCGUCCAGGGAUGAUAAUGACAGUACCUGGUAAAG
Molecule: ribosomal RNA, 406 nt
Filed under: uncultured bacterium
Lineage: Bacteria
Description: bacterial SSU rRNA
Rfam family: Bacterial small subunit ribosomal RNA
Source: RNAcentral